GACGAACGCUGGCGGCGUGCCUAAUACAUGCAAGUCGAACGCAGUGGGGACGGGUGAGUAAAACGUGGGUAACCUCCCACCAGAGGGGAUAACACGUGGAAACAGGUGAUAAACCGAUACAGAUGGAUGGACCCGCGGUGCAUUAGCUAGUUGGUGAGGUAACGGGUGACCAAGGCGACGAUGCAUAGGCAACAUCAAGGCGUGAUCGGUCAGGCGGUCACAGAGACACGGCCCAGACUCCUACGGGAGGCAGCAGUAGAGAAUCUUCGGGAAUGGACUAAAGGCUGACAGAGCAACGCGGCGUGAGUGAGGAAGGUUUUCUGAUCUGAGAACGCUGUUGUUAGAGAAGCGGUAUCUAACCAGAAAUCCCCGGCUAACUAUGUGCCAGCCGCCGCGGUAAUAC
RNAcentral lists this ribosomal RNA (403 nucleotides) under uncultured bacterium. RNAcentral's name for it is "partial 16S ribosomal RNA". It matches the Rfam family "Bacterial small subunit ribosomal RNA", at positions 28 to 526 of the family's 1533-position model. The record is from RNAcentral.